GAGUGAGCUAAGUGCCUCAGGCGAGAUAAUGCAGAGGUGGGGGACAGAGUGGGUGGGGAGGGGAGCCGCCAUACAGUGGCCAGGACCAGCUUUGCCCAAGUGGUGGCAACCGCAUGACCACAGGAACGAUGGCGUGAGCCCCGUGGCAACCUGGAGGAAGGGAAAUAAUCCAGGAUCCAUUUCGUGUGGUCAUCUUGUCUCCCUGGUCCCCUCCAGCCUUUCCUCAUCUUUUGUGACCUGGUCACUCUGGAAGGGCGCUGGCCAGUUAGUCCACAGGAUGGGCCUCCCCUGGGGCUUUUCUGAUGCUUCCUUAUGAUGGCACUGGCAUCCUGAGGGGGAGGACCACAGAGAGGAGGUGCUCCUCAUCACACCACAUGGGGGUCCAUGCACCAGUGCCACUGCUUUCCAGGGCUCUUCACCUUCAUCACUGGUGGAGGUGGCGUCUGCCAAGAAGCAGAAAGUUGAGGCUUAGAAGGUGCACGGCCCUACCUCUUCCGAGGUGCCCCUGCGGGCUGUCUACAGACCAGGCAGCACAUGCCUGAUAGCAGCUGCAUAAGGAAAAGCAGGAGCCAGCUCGUGCACAGUGGCCUCAAGUGUGCACUGGGCAUGUUCUCUGCCUCACCAUCCCUGUGUGACAGAUGAAGCAUGGCAAGCCAGGCUCCAGAGAAGCAUCCUGAGGACCAGUGUUCCUAGGGACCUCAUUCUUCUGACCUCAUUCCUACAACGUUUUGUCACUGCAAAGGAAAUCACCAAGGCCAGCAUGACAGCCCUCAACAGAAGCCAAGGCCAAGUCCUCGAACUUCCUAGUCUGCACAAUGACAAGUGAGCUCAUGGAAACCUCUCCAUCGUUGACCAGGAUCUAUAGGAAAACCCUCCUCUUCUUCUAUAUGCAAAGGCUGCACAGCUCCUGGUUCACCUGCACCUCUCCAGACCACCAUGGUGCCUGCAGCUCUGAGGGCAUUUUAAAUCAUCACAGAACAACAAGCAUAUAAGCAUCAUGAGCGCCUCUGGACCUCUGACGUGCCUUGUGGAGGCCUGCCAGGCCCACGUUUUAAUUUACAUGAACUCGAUGCCCUUUUUGACAGGGAGAGAUCUGUUUCUUUAUUUGUUAGCCUUUCCCCUGGACCUGCUAGAUCUGGACCAUCCCCAGGAAAGGAAGGUCACACCACAAAGAUAAAUAUAAACAAAAUGAGUUAAUUAAGAAGGAGUUAGUCUGAAAUUCAAUAUUCCCAAGAGUCCAAGCCCUUCAGUUCUAAGUGAAUUUUUCUCCCCUGUAAAAUAGAACUGUUGGGUACAGUGAGAUUCCAUUGUAUAUGGUCUCACUUAGAAUUUGUCUCAUUUCACAUAUGCAAACACUGAGGCUCUGUGAGGUGAGAGAUCUGCUGCACUAGGUCCUGAAAGGCACAGCCAGUGAGCAUUCAGCCCAGGGUACAUCUGCUGGCUUCACAGUUGCCCUGCUAUUCUGUGGUCCAAUGUGGCUGCUCUAGCUCCAGCCAUCACAUCUGCAUUCUUACCAGUGGGAAGGGCAAAGCAUGACCUUUCUUUUUAAGACACGUUUGAAGUUGCAUACAUCAUUUCUGCUCAUGUUUCACUGGCCAGCAUUUAAACGGAUGGGCAUACCUAGCUGCAGGGAAGGCUGUAGUCUUCAUUCUGGGAUGAAGUGUACCCAGCUAAAAGUCUAGAGUUUUAUUUCUAUGAGAGAAAUUGAGCAUGGAUACUGGGGGACAAUGAACCAUUUCCACUUCAUCUUCUAAUAAAUGUGACAAGUGCAAUGCUUGUCAUAUAUUGUG
This is a long non-coding RNA of Homo sapiens (human), 1790 nucleotides long. Ensembl annotates it as long intergenic non-protein coding RNA 1471. The record is from Ensembl. NCBI's taxonomy places the organism in Eukaryota, Metazoa, Chordata, Mammalia, Primates, Hominidae.